Long non-coding RNA from Gallus gallus (chicken), 23266 nucleotides. RefSeq lists it as uncharacterized. The record is from RefSeq and is a predicted model, not a curated record. The transcript is spliced from 4 exons. Lineage: Eukaryota; Metazoa; Chordata; Aves; Galliformes; Phasianidae.
GAUGGAGCAGAUAGGCGUCCUUCUCUUGGAAACAAGUCCCCAAAUGAGCAAACAAGGCCGGAGCAACAACCUGAUUUUCAUGCAAAUGCUUUCCCUUCAAGAGUACCGCAAGAGCACAAACAAGGAUUAGCUGCUGACGGUCAUUUGCAUACCCUCGGCCAACUCCAAGCAUUUUUUAACCUCUAUGGCAAAGCAUUUCGCUCACCAUGAAUCGUCCCUUCCGCCCCUUCCUGUGCAGCUACCAAUGACGUAGGAUGUACUCCAGAUGUUGGGUGUUCAUGAGCUGUUUUAUGAAGAAGAGGAUCACAGCAGCUACCUAUGGCACUGGUAAGUAAGCAGCAGAUGGCGUCUGCCUUGAGCUACACAUGCACCACGCUUCACAUCUAUCUGGCAGCGGUAGUGAGGAGGAGGAAUCAAAGUGUAGGAGCCCUUGAGGAAAGGAUGAACAAGUCUGUGCAUUUGAGAUGGGCUUUGGGUUAGAAAAAUAAUAAAACCCAAAUAUUUUAAUAGAAAGAUCAGCUCUAGCAUCAGUAAUCUAGCCAGACAGCAGUGGGAUGAGGAGAGACAUAGGGAAUGUUUGAUGUAAAAUCGAGGUCGUGCCCUGAAAAUCAGACGCAGGCUUUGGGAGAGGUAUGUGAGCCAUUAAAAUGAAAGGAAACCCGAGACAGUGGCUCCGCCAGCUGCCAAAGACACCGCUCUGUGUCUGUGCACGCUGGAGCCCACUCCCCUCCACCACUGGCAGCAUGGCAGAUGCUGCAUUGUGGUACCAUCACAGCAGAGGAUACCCAGAGGAUAAACCAGAACUGGGCUAGGGACGUACUUUAAAAAUUCCUUUCUAGCUGUUAAUCUACUGUGAGAGGGGAUUCAAAGCUCCCAUUGGAAGGAAGGGCUUUGGCCCAGCUGGCUGAGCCCUCUGCUCACUCACUGAGUGGGCAUGGGGAGCACAGCCCUACGCAACCUUCCCCACGCUGCCUCCUGUUUGUCUUCCUGCUCUGGUCAGAAGUUCCAGGGAAGGAGUUGCUCUACCCUUUGAUGUGACCAGGAAGCCUUCUGGAUGCUGCCAAAAUCUCCAGUGGUCCUUCUUGAGAUCACAAGGGCUCUACAGGGAGACAUGCUCCAUACAAUGUCUAUACAUCUCUGAAGGAGCACCCAAGCUCCAUUCAUGCUCAUUUCUUUGUGCCCAGGUUGUGACUGAGGGUCUUCAGACAUUUUACUGCUGGUUUCACUGGGCACUGUGGCUUAUCCAUCACCCCAGUAUUGCUCUGGCCGCAGCACUGGCGUCCACUGACCUUUCUUCUGGCACAGGAAACCAGCCCAGAGCCUCCACCCAUGUUUCCCAUGCGACCAUCUCACCAGCUGUGGCAGGUGGGGGUGCCAGGGUCCUCACUAGGACUGGGCAGGUAAUCAGGAGUGUGCCCUGGCACUCACUGGCACACUGAAAAUGCUCAGGCAUUUUGUGUGUGGGAGUGCAAGCUGCAUUUCUUGGUGUACCAGUGAUGGAAAUCCUUUUUUAUUUCAUUCGCUGAGGUCUUGCAUAAAAAUCUUGAUUUUGCUGAUAAAAGAGAGUUCUGUGCACAAAGCUUUUAUCAUACUCUGACCUCAGCGUGGCUUGAGUCAACAUUUUCAACUGAAUCAAUAUAUAUAUAUUUUUUUUUUCAGGAAAGACAGCACAACAAUCCACUCUGGAAAGCCCAGCUGAACUGAUUUCAAGGCCCCCACAGCAGUGAGGAGAUAGCUCACGAGCUGUGGUGUGAGCUAAGACAUAAUGAGCUCAUGACACAUGUUUGUCUUGGCUUCCACCCACCCCACGUGGGGCUGUACCAGCUGGCAGCAACAUGACAAGUGGCUGCAGCCCGCAUGAACCACAGCACCACUAGAACAGCACUAGCCCAAUAAUUCUGAGGCAGGGAUAUGAGCUACCCACUACAAGAAAGCCCCAGAUUGCUUGACCCUAAGUGUUUACCAGCAUGCUACAUCUCAGCUUUUAUUGCAGGGAUCACCAUUUGCUGUAUCCACAUUUAAAGCUGCAUAAAUAGCAGUGGGGCUGCUGAUGCCUGGGAAUGCUGUCAUGUCACUGCUUCACGUGGCAUGGUGUCAUGUAGCAGGAUGAUAGACUGCCACCACAUCCCAGCAGCAUGUUUGGCAGUUGGGAUGGAAUUCCCCUGCCUGCCUCCCGGACCAGGAAAACCAAAACCACAGACUUAUGGCUGGAGUGCGGCAGUGAGAGCAAUCAAUCCAAGAGACACAGCCUGCAUGUUGCUGAGACACCGAGCACAUUGCAGAGCAACAUAAGGGGCAGCGAGGUGCUCCACAUCAGCUGGGACCACAGGGUUUGGUGCCUAGGGCUAUAGGAUGGAUGGAGGUGGGGAAGGUACCAAAGCUCUGCUCUGUGACUGCUUGAGCUGCCAAUGUGUCCUGCAGUCCCUUUUGUGCUUGGUCACCUCACUAGUAGCUCAGAUGAAAGCCACUAGCUGCUGUGUGCUCAGCUGCGUGCAGAGAUCAGCCCAGCUAUUUGGUCAACAGGAUAAGAAUUGAGAUACUUGAGCGUGUGCAUCUUUUUUUCACUCUGUUAUUUUUCUAAUCUUGGACAAAUCCGUGAGAGAUUGAAUGAAGUUCCUGACAGAUCAGCACAACUAGAUGCCUUCAAAUUUUUAAGGGUCGAUUUUUUUGUUAGAUGAUGGCUCAGAAAGCCACCAGGGAUGUACAGUCAGCAUCCGCCCGUUAUGGGAAGAGGAGUGGGUGGAAGGGGAGAGGCUGCUGCUCUGAUUUGCUUGGCUCGGUGCUUGGGCUCACUGAGUUUUGCUGUGUGCCGAAGCCACGUGAUUUGUGUAGUUGUGACACAAAAUCAUAAAUCAAUCCGGUUUGGCUAGGAAAGUUCACGAACCCUCACUGAACCUUUGGACGAACCUGGGUUGAGUUUCUAGCUCAUAAGGAAAUCUGAAACCAGGCGGGCUUCAGAAGGAUUUGUGUUUCAUCGCGAACCCUUUGUAGAGCUCUGCUAAAAAGGCGGCGGUCAGCAAUCCCUGGGUUUGGUUAAGAAAAAAGUUGUCGGCCUGAGAGCGUUUACACAGAGCAUGGCUGACCUUUAGAACAGCCCUAUUGUGGUGAGUGAAAAAUAGCUAUUCUUGAAAACUGCCUCUUGCACGGCACUGCCAGGAGCUGCCUCCAUUUCCCAGAGCUGUCUGACAUAGCUAAAGCACCUGCUGGGGACAUCCUCCUUUCCCAUCAUAUUUUGCAGAUUUUCAGAGGGAUUUCAAACCUCUUGAUCAUUCUCCCCCCCCCCCCCCCCUUUUUUUUUAAUCUCAGUUCAUAGGCGCAGAGGUUUCUUACAAAUCUCUCAAUGCAAUGCUUGCAAAAGAUUUCAAGCAGUGUCUUUAUCUUCAAAAUGCCUCUGUAUUCCUCCCCUGAAUGUGAGAGCAGGAAAAAGGCAGAAAGUGUUUUCAGGUGAGAUAUGCCACUGCCUUGCUGGUGGAAGGAGCUAUCCAGCUCAGGGCUCUAAAUGAGUUUAGGAUGACUGUUGGACUAAGCAGAACCUGGAACCCAAAUUAACAAAACCAAAAGCAUGGGACUUCAUUCAACAGCACAGACACGAAGUAAAGGCUGAAAUUUAAGCAGCAUUUUGUAGAGGUUUGUAUCUUUCAUGAAGCAAACCAUGCUAAUGCAAAUGUCUGAAGAAAGAAAAAAGCCAGUGUUCUCCUUAUUGACAAACUGAUUGAUCAUUUAGAGGAAAGGGCUAAAAAAGGAGGACUAUGAAGCGCCUUGCUCAGGAAGGAGUAAUGUCAUGCUCAGAUCCUGAGCCCCGAAUUUCCUUUGGCCCAGGCAAAAUUCAGUUUGGAAGUUUAAGGGAAUAAUGAGCUGAAAAAUUCUCAGUUAUGUACAGCUGUUCCAACAAAGCCAAUGCUCUAGGCCAACUUCAUCUUUCAGAGACAUGGAUACACCUUGUGGAGGCCGCAUGGGGACUGGACCCCCAAGGCUGAGAGCAGCAUCCUGGGGAGCACAGGGCCGUGCUGCACCAUAUGUGCAUUCCUGACAGUCUGCCUUUCAAUGAGUGGGUCCUUUGGGCCCCUUUCUGACCUCCAGUCCACAUGCGUGCAGGUCCUGAGGGGCAAGGGAAAUCACACUGCACUUAGAGAGUUAUGCUAAGUUUGGAAACUGAUUUGCGGAUUUAAAAUAUAAAGUGUCAGAUAUGGGAACCAUUUUACUCUGUGUGUUAGGGUAGUGGAGUCGAAUCUGUUUGCCAGAGGAACCCCAGGAGAAAGGGCUGGGAAAGAAGGCAAAGAAGGAAAAGUAUCAGGACUGGGCUUGAUAUGUGUGGUAAAAAUACACCAUUGCCAUAUGGAAAUGGACAGGGAAUAGGAGUUCCUAAUGUCUGGAGGUGGAAGACCAAGAAAAAGCUAUAGACUGAGGAUAUUUCUGUUAAGAUAUUAGAUAAACUUUUCUUAUCAAGCCAAGCAAGAUGCAAGUUGCAAAGAGUGUUGGAGUCAGAGUGGGCUCAAUGGUGGUACUUAAUGGAGAACCCCACCAGCACACUCACUGCUGCUGGUGCCCAUUCCAGCUUUCUAUGGAUCCAUUAGCUGUAUGUCACUCUUGCAUCAUCCACAGCCAGAACAUCAACUUGAAGAGACUUUGCACUGCAUUCAAAAAUCUGCAGGCCUUAGAAGAACUGGGGGUUUGUUGGGUCCGUCUGCUCCAAGCCCUGCUCAAACAAGGACACUCAGAGCAGGGUGUCCAGGACCAUGUCCAGGUGGCAUUUGAAGAUCUCCAGUGUUGGAGACUCCACAACCUCUCUGGGCAUCCUGUCAAAUCAGUGACAUAAAGUAGGCAUCCUGCCUGCUAUACCCCCAAGGCUCGCAUGAGAUAUCAGCACUUACUCCAAGCAAGGCUGAAGUGGGUAACUUGUUGGAAACCUCUUCAUCCUAAAGCAUCCCUGCUGGGAGGGAUUUCAGGACAGCAGCAUAGCUAGGAGAUGGGUUUCCUAGGGGAACCACUGCAAAGAUGCUUCCACUGGGAAGAUUUUAACAUGGAGCAGACUGUGGGAGUUGUGCCGUGAGAAGUUGGGUGAAGACUUAUUCCUUUGCUUGGGUAAAAUCUUCAUGGAGAGUAAACAUGGUUAUUCCAUACCUACUAUCAUCAACAGGAGCAGGAACAAGGUGAGGAUAAAUCCCACAUUUCAUAUCAGAAGCAUUCUGCCUUGGAAAUUCCAAGUUCUGUAUACAUAGGAUUUUGUGUGUGUGUGUGUGUGUGGUCCACAGCUCUUUGUUAUAUACUGUGAUUUUCCCCACCCCUCUACAGAGAUAAGUAGGUAGAAGGCAGUUGUUUGGAUAAGUCAGUGGCAGGCGAUAAGAUUAUAACAAAGCCACUGGUCUGCAGUGGAAAGUUUUUACACCAUACACAGGGAUUUUUAUCAGAGCUUUACAAAUUGCCUUUGUUUCAUUUCAAGGGCUUAACUUAGCUCAUCCUCCAAGCAAAAUGGUCUCAUCCUUCCUGUCAUCUUCCAAGAUAGAGGAAGUGGUGGUAAAUGUGUGUGUUCUCUAUCAGGGGCUAUCUCCUCAAAGCAGAGCCUGGAAAAAGCUCUAUCAAUUAACAUUUUGUGUUUCCUUUCCUUUCUUCCUUCUUUUUUGGGUACUAUGGCAAAGGAGCCUCCAUUUCCUUCUUUGUUCCAUCUAAACAAACCAGGCAAUUCAGAAAAUGAGUGGAACAACUCUGACUGAAGCUAACCUUUGUGGGACCCAACCACUCACUCCUCCCCACAGAACAGUGCCCACCUGUAAAGGAUCAACAUAACACUGCUUCCCCUGCCUUGAUGCUAAGUCUCAGUGCUUGGCCAUAAACAAUGAGAAAGAAAAAGGUAAGAACGAAGGAAAAAAAAAUACAGGAUUUAUGGACAAAAAGAAUGGGAGGAAAAGGGCUCACUGUCCUGUUUAUUGGCCAAAGGAGCUGAAGAAGCAGAGGAACUUAGAGGUGAUCCUGAUAUACUUCGUGUGUGUCUCUCCUUUAUUUUUUUUUUCCAGUCAGAGGGUCUUUCAGUCUGUCUGAACACAGGCUCUUCAUCUGCCACGGGGAUGGUCACAGAGAGGUCCUUCAGGAACAUUACUGCAUGUAAAAUCCUCAGCCUGUCUUAAUCUGCACAAAAUUGCAAGUGUGGGCAGGCUGUGAGUGAUUGAGCCAGGCCAAAGAGGAAUUCGGCAGCAGUGCAACCUCUGUCCCUGCCCACCUCAGUGACAGCCCAGUGUUUAACCACUGUGUGAUCCUGCCAGCCCCAUGCUCACAGUUUACUGACAACCAUCUGUUGAAAGAGCUUUGCCAAGCUAAACCGACCCAACGCUAACUGCAAAGUUUGUGAGCAAGGAGUAAGUGGAAUAAUUGAAAAAACUGGGGAAAUGUCUAGACCACUUAGAUGGAUUUGUGUAUUUAAGAAAGAGCUGGCUUAUGUGUUCACCAACAACUCACCAACCACAGAAGAAAGUAUUUUAAAUCUUCAGCCUGAUGCAGUUCUUGAAGCAAGCACAGCAUCUCAUUAAAAACCCCAAUCCCAAGCCCUGAGCAGUCCAUUCAGUCUCGUGACCACUUUAAAACCUUUCAGAACAAGUCUGUAUGACAUUUAUUCAUGGUUAUUAGACAGGUAAUGAAAAAAAAGAUGAUUUACAACACAAUCCUUACACACACAACCUUUCUUCUAGAAGACAAUCCCUGUUUGUGAGGUGUUGGGAGAACCUUCUGAGAAGUGGUUUCAGUGGUAGGAGAGUGAGAGGUUGGCUCAGUUGGUAAGCUUUCAGCCCCAUUAUUUUACCUCCCUGUCAACAGGCCACAACAGACACACUGAACAGUGGCAGAAGAGGCUCCUUCUCCUGCUGCUGACAGCCUUCAGUGGACACAUGCCACUGGAGGGGGAAGAUGCACUUUUUUGUCCAUACAGGAGAAGGUGCAGUAACAGGGCAAGUAGCCCAUAGUUCUGUGGACAUCACCACACCAGAUCCAUCCAUGUGCAAGGGUUUGUCCUUGUGUUUGUUGGUGAGGGUGGUCUUCAUUCAACCCAACAAGUCAGAAGGGAACUCUUUCCACAUAAGACAACUCUCAGGGAUUAGAGAAGCACUCCACUUCACUGGGGUUGGGAAAAAAGGCAGCGAGGGAGUGUCAGGAUGCUUGUGAGCUCCACAGUCUUCUUGCUACUUAUCUCUGGCCCUCUGAGACAGCAAGUCUGGGCUGGUCCAGGACCUCCCUGGACAUACCUGCAGUGUCCUCACCCACAUCUGACUCAUUUUAACCAGGAAAACUGCACCCUGGGAGAAAGCAGUGCCGAGGAUGAGCUGAGGGCUUGCUCCUGUCAGAAUGACCCUGCCAAAGACCUCUGCUCUGUCUGCCCCAAUGUGAGUAAUACAAGGCAUCAAUCACUUUCCCUCCUUCUGGCCCCAUGUCUUGGCCCAAAACCUUCGCGCCAGUUUCCAGAUUUGUAAUGAGUUGGAAAGUUAAUGAAGUGGACAUAGAGCAAUUUGUUGAUUACAAGCAUUUGAACAAGAUUUUGUGUAUGUGCGUGUAUUUGAGCAUAGACGUGUAUUCACACAAAAACAUGUAUGUGCAUUGAUAUGCAUAUGCAUAGAUACAUAUUCUGCAAAGGUUUCUGUGCUAAAAUAGAUCUAAACACGCUUACACAUCUAGUUAACUGCCAAGAAGGGAAUUUUGUGCUCAGAAGUAUUCUGCUGGAAGUGUGGGGAGGGUACAGGCUACUUUAAAAAGAGGGGACUCCCUUUCUUGUUUUUAGCUCAUGGGUUUGGGUUUUUUUUGUUUUGUUUUUUUUUUGCACGUGUGUCUACAACUUCCUGCACAUGGAAGUUCCAUAGUUCUGAAUAGGCUUUGGUCAAACACUUCUAGAUGCAUACAUCUAUACUUCUAAUUAGGAAGGGAGGAAUUGUGGUAUUCACAUUUUUUAGAGUUCCCAUUGCUGAGGUACAGCUAUUGGACCUCUCUUAGUUCCUGAUGAAAAAAACAUGAAAGUACCAUUACUUCCAGUAAGGUCAAGAGGGGGUCCAUUGCAAACAGAGACACACUGAGCCAUGUAUGUGCAGGCCAGCCCUUCCAAAGCCAGCCUGAUCUUCUUGUUGUUCAAUCCUCCUGACUGCUGUUAAUCAAUUAAUAUGUGAACUUGCAGACUCAAAUGGAGGUGGGUUAUGAAUAUAGAUUGCACAUUGCUUCCCUUCAGGAAUUCAUGUAAAAGCUGUCAUUAACAUAAUGCAUAUACAAGAGUCCAACAAAAAGCUAUUAACUUUUGUAUUCAUCCAGCCAGGCUCAGUAAGUGCUUUACCAUCAACAGUCUUGCUGCACUUGAAAUUAAAUAUGUGUGUCAAGGUUAGCGCUUCCUGGGUUGAGAAACCGUACCAGCAGAAUGCUAACAGAUGUUAGCAAUAUGUAUGUGUGGGAGGGGAAGAUCACACCUGACUCGUGUCAGCACUGAGCAGUGUUUGGAGCCUGGAGCUAAUCAUCUGCAGCAACCUCACUUUUAACAAGGGCAAACCACCAUCGUGUUUUCCAUGGAUGCAUUUCCCCUUUCGGUAUACCCCGAUGGACUUCCUGACGCAGAGCAGUCAUUGAACACAGCCUGGCCUCGGGCAUCCAGAAGCCAGCACGGCCUCUUGCAACAAGGCAGAGCUAUCUGCAAAAGUGUUUCUGGCUGGGAGCUUCUUACAGCCUUCAGCUCCCUGCAGCAGCUCAGGGAUGGGCUGGCAAUUACCACUCCCUGUCCCCCAGACAACCCUGUGUUUGGAGGUGGGAGUGUUGAAAUUAUGUUCAAGAGAGCUGGUUUAAGUUGGCUUUAGUUUCCAUGGUUAUAUUGUGUUCUUAAAAAACAAACAGUCAUUACCUAUUUACGAAAUGAUUGUGAGAACAGGUAAGUGAUGUAAGGAAAAUGCUCUGUUGAAAAAAAGCUUGCUCAGGUAUGAGAUCAGAAGACCAGGUGUAAUAGAGCUCUGUCCAGAGUGCCCCCAGGGCUUACUAAGUGGCAGAAAUUCACCGCGAUCCCAAAUUACACUCCUCGUGGUAUAUGAGGGAGUGUACUCGGUAAUCAGGGAAGUGGUAACAUUUGUAAAAAAAAAAAAAAAAAAAAAAAAAACCCAAGGAGAAGAGCUAUGCAAGAACUGCAAAUUGGCAAAGAUGACUAUUGUUUAAGAAAACACAAUAAAAUAGAGUAAUGAGAUGAUCUGGGAAUAUAUACAUACAAUACAGCCAGCCAGUCAGACAUCUGUCCUGAGAAGAAGUCUGGGGAGCCUUUUCAAGGGAUGUGGUAGGAGAACAGCGACCAAGCCCCAGUUUGAUUAGAGGAAGCCGGCACAGGAGGAUCGUGUCAUGCUUAACUACUCUUCUGGAAUCCUUUGAAGAUACCACUGCCAUGACAGAUAAGGGCAAUUUAGUGGGUAGCAGAAUAUUUUGAUUUUCCAGAAGCAUUUGACGGUUUUCCAUACAUGAGAUUAAUGGCUUUCGCAAAAGACUUUAAAGAGAAGAUAAAACAGUGACUGGAAUGGAAAAAUAGCUUAAAAAUAGGAGACAAAGCUUGGCAAAGGAUUGAAGGAAGCAUUUCUGACUGUUUCUAAAACUGACACCACUCCUAUUUAUGAUGGACCAAAUCCCAUUUAUGUGGAAGCCAGUAGUAUCUUGCCACUAAUAUCAGAUUUGCAGAAACACGAUGAAAAUGGGAGGUGUCCUGCUUCAAUCUAUGUACCUCUUAAUUCAAAACAGCCGAUAAAUGGGAUGGCAGUUCCCCUUCCUGCUGCAGGCACGCAGGGGCAGGAAAUGCUGGUGGAUUUUCCUGGGGUCCCCACACCCCAGAAUGGGUUCCUGAUUGUCUCAUGCUGGGGUAGCACACAUCAUAGCACAUGCCACAGCCUACAGCCGUGUGAAAGGAGCACUCCAUCCACCCCCUGCAUUAUUAUUUAUGCCAAAAGCAUGUCUCUGGAAAGGUACAAUGGUAAGGCCUGGAAGUAGGGCUGAGACAAGCUUCUGAAAGGAGAGAAGGGGCUUUCCAUAUGGCAUUCAACAGCAGUUCUGUACAGCGGCACCUUUAGCAUGUGCCUGUAGCAGGAUUAAACCUCUUCCCAAUGGGAUAUCUUCAUAGCACUGGCCCUUGGGAAAGCUGUGGCCCAAGUGGCAGUGCCUGUCCCAAGGAUCUGCUCAAUGCCAGGAAGAUUAGGAGAGACCCCUGGGACUGCAGGACCCAAAAGGCCAGUAGACACUUUUAAUCAGUGCUGGUAAUUUACUGUGACAGUCAUUCUACACCUAAAAACCAUUGGCAUCAAGACCUACUUUCCACCCAGGGCUGGAGAAAGCUGCUCUCAAGCCAGAACAACAGCUUGCAGCCACACCAGGAGCCUCUAGUCUCCUGUCCUGCUCCAUGUUCUGUCUGUGUAUGGACCUCUGCCUCUGCUCCUGCUCCAUCAGGCUUAUCCUACUCCCACACCAGAGGCUUGCACUUUCCCUUCUUACGUGAGAGUAGAAACAAACAGAGCUUGUGGGUUGAUCCUGUGGGUCCCAAAAUACAGCCCAGAACCCCUAUCAUGAUAGUGGAAUACCAUGAGUUCAAAACUGGAGUCAUGUUGUCAGUUCACCAGAAGGACAUAGGGGUUUAUCAUGUUUUUCAUGUCUCACUAUGGGCUCUGAAGUUGUGCGCCUUUACCUUUUGGGUAGAAGUGUCUCUCAUAUAGCCUAAUGCUCCUCUGCUCUGCCAGACAGUUUGUUGGUCAGAUCCACGGAUCUAAGCACGUCAUACGCUGGCAUAAGAUCCCAAAGAAGUUCAGCUUGUCCUCAUCAAGCACGCCUGUAUUUGCACUCAAGCUACAUUAAUUGUUAGACAAAGACACCUUAGCCUUAACUCGCUUUAUGAACAUCAUCUCACAAGCUUUCAUUCUCUCUCAGUCCUAAAGGAAGCAGUCUACAAAACAGAAAAACUUGUAGAUGAUUUUGCCUGAAUUCUCUUUAUUAUCUCUAGCCCUCAAUCUUGGCUUUCUGGGGGGUAAGACAGGAAAAAUAUGUCAUGUUUGAAUGCUGGUUGGGAAAACAAACAGCAUUUGAAAUGUUGUUUUAAAAUACAACUUCCUACCUGUAGCCUUUGUUUUUUCUGGAAGUGGCCGGAGUCCUUGACGGCACUUGAGUUCUUAAAAAUGCCUUAAAAAACUUAAUGGAAAUAAAUCAAGAUAAGCAGCACACAUGGUAACAAUACUGUCUCCUAGUUGGGUUCAACUUGUUCCAGCUGUUGGCGUGAUUGUGAGUUUCAGGGCCAGGAAGACCAUGUCCGCAGUUAUGUUACUGGCAGUGACGGACGAAACGCUCAAGCAGCCUAUUGCAAAUGGGUAAGCAGACCAUGUAACAAAUAAUGUCGAGUUCACCUGACCAUUGACAGAGUUCCUUUGAUGUAACAAGAGGAAGAUCUGGCUUCUCAAGCUCCUUGAGUCUGCCAUUAGAAAAGGUUGUGAUCAGCAAACAAAACGAAAAUAAUACUUCAGUGUUCAAAGUCCACCUGAAGUUUAAUUUCUCUGCCAAUGAACCCAGCACUAAAGUUUAAGAUAAUAUUUGGAAGGAAACAGAUGUACUUAGUGGUUAAUUUUAAAUAACUUCUCAUAUCUCAUAGCCUGACUUUUUAAAACCUUUCUCUUACUUGAUGAACAUUACAUGUGAUUGCCUUACGGCACAGCUAAUAUUAGAGAUGCGAUUGACAACGUUGAGCUCUUACACAAUCAUAGAAUCAUGGAAUGGCCUGGGUUGAAAAGGACCAUAACGAUCAUCUAGUUUCAACCCCCCUGCUACGUGCAGGGUUACCAACCACUAGACCAGGCUGCCCAGAGCCACAUUCAGCUUGGCCUUGAAUGCCUCCAGGCAUGAAAGAAAAGAGAACCAACGUUCUCUUUUAUUGACAGAUCCCUACAAAAUGUGGUAUCAUUGCUUAGUUCUUUUGUUGGGGUCGUGCCAAGAAAGAUGAUGUGGUUUGUCUAAAGUUGCCUGCCAUGGAAUGACAGGCUUGGAAACCAAACCCAGUUAUCUCUUCAUCCAUCCCAGAGACUUGGACCAGCAACUCCUUAGGGCCACAUUGCCUCAUUUACUAAGUGUGAAUUUGGAGUAGGUCAUAUCACGUGUGUUUUUGAGCUGUGUAAAGUGAUUAAAGUAUUCAGGUGAAAGCAUCAGGAGGCUCAUGGUGGCAAGAGACACACUGUCCUGGUGGGUGCUUGUGGGAGGAGCCCUGGUUAGAGGACUAGGGUGUGAACUGGUCUGCUCUGACAGCACCCAGUGGGAAAGCCCAUGUUCCUCCUAAGUAAAGGGAACUGUCUCAAAGAAACACGAAGGUAUCAUCCACUCUUCAUGCAACAGCACCAUGAGUACCCAGGUACUGGGUAAACAGUAACUACAACUCAAGGAAAUUGCCCAUGCUGAGCUGUGCUCCUCCCUGCCCUGAUUUAUCUGCAGAUUAGCUGUCAGGGAGGACAGGAAUGAGUGGAGCACUCUGAUGCACUGGGAGCUUUAAUCAGCUGAGCAGAAUGUUUGGUAUCUGAGUUUAUCACCUGCUAUAUAUGGCUUUCUGGGAUUGCCUAGGUAUGAAAAGCUGUAUUUAAACAUGCCUUUAAACACCCCCGCCCACCACUCUGUGCUUCCUAUCUCAGAAACCCCCUCAGGCUGCAAUAAAGUUAAAAUGAGGGUUAUCUCUGAUAACCAAAGUUAAUUGUGAUAUUGGCAGAAGAAAGGCCUUGGGUAGAGCAGUUUUGGGUUACAGACACAGGAGCUGGAGUGCAGCUACGUCUCAUCCCAUGAAGGAGCAACAGAACAGGCAAGGAUUCAAUGGGGUCACUUCAAAUUCAGGCACUCCAAAUUCACACCAUCUCCCUCACACAUGAACAAAGCACAUCUCCUCACCUCCUUGCAGCCCUUUUCCACCUACUGCACUGUAGUUAUGCAGACUCAGCUGCACAACCUUCCUAGGGUCUUUGCACUGUAUCUGCAACAGAAGGCCCUGAUCUCUGCUGUUAGGUAUGCAGGAUUUUCAUUCUCCCUUUAGGCAAGAAAAGCAUUCACACUUCAAUUUGAAAUAAAAAGUGUCUGAAGAUGUAAUUUUACUGAAAGUUUCUCGUUGUAGAAAAUACACAUAGUACUGGAAAUAGCUGAACAUGAAAAAAACUUCAGGAAGGUCAUGAUAUAGCCUACCACUUGAUACUAAUGAUUGUGAAAGGAGAACUAGCUUCAAUUAAGAUUCGUGAAAGAGAAAAGAAUUAAGCAUAAUGAAAUCCAGCUGCAAAAAUACAACUGGGGCAAAGGAUUACAAAGAGCUCUAUUACUGUAAGAACAGGUGUUACAGUAGAGAAGGCAGUGAAUGGAAAGUUGGUCUCCCCCAGGGUAUGAUAUUAGGAGCAGACUUACCUGUAGGGGCUGGAUAUGGUGAAAUGAACCUCAUCCCUGCGUGGUGGAAUGGGAGAGUCUGUUGUUUUGUGUGUUCAAGUGUGUUGGUGGCAUCAGAGAAAUCAUUAUGCAAGCUUUGGAUGGAAUAAUUGAUGUCAGGCAUCACUGGGAUACCUCUGGCCAUUUCCAUGUCUUUAGUGUUGUUUUUUUUAACAGAAAUGUAGGACAAUAAAUAAAUAGAGACUUUUGACUGGCUCUGGUCUUUAUCUGCUCUUCCACAUCCACACAGCAGCCAAUAGCUUAAACAGACACGGACACUUUAAGCUAAAUCUCACUGAUUUCAAGUAUGAGUAGCAUUUGCCAGAUGUCAAUAAUAGAAAAAGCAACAGGAAAUAUUUCUGCUUCUGCUUUGUACAAAAAACUUGAUGUGUCAGUGUUAGAGAUGGAGCACCGUACAUCCAGUUGGACUUCCCACCUGCAAAGUUACUGCUUACUGUACAGUCUUGGUGUGGAACUGUGAUGGCAUUGUUAGAGCAGCAUAAUUAUAGGCAUCACCCAAAGGAGGCCUGAAGUGACUCACCUGCACCUGUAGAACAAGUCCCUCUGUGGUUGUUGUGCCCAAGACAUGCCACUGACCAGAAAAGCACUUUUCCUUGAGCUUGCCCUGUCAUCACAGGUCUCAGCCUUUUGGCUGUCAGAGGCCAUUGACAUGGUAGCCACCACUAUAAGGGGCAAAAAGACAACCCCCCCCCCACAGUAUUAUUAGCUGCAGAUGACACGCAGGCCUUGAAUCCUCCGUAAGAUGAGAAACAGGAGAUUAAAAACCCCAUGUGUAGAGGUUGCCAUGUUUUAUUGUGUUGUUUUGUAGUCACCCAGAGCCAGGGAGACAGGCUGAGUUUUGUUUCAACAACUGAUGGGAGCACAGCAGCUGAGCUGACGUCUGCCUCAAGGAGUACUUCAGUUCCCAUAGGUCAGUGUAACUUAAUAUGAUUCUCCACAAAGGGGAAUAAAUGACUUUGGUGAGGCCUAGGAAGGAUCUCCCAAAUAUACACUUGUCCAUGUUUGUUCAUGCAAACGUGUAACACGUUUCUUCAUUAUCAAGUGGCUUCUGAGAUUUCAAGAGACACUUGUGUCUUUACUUUUCUCUGCAGCUAUGAACUACAACUAUGCACAUAAUGAAGGGGUGACAUCACACCUAUAGCUAGGUGUUAUGGAAGAAACAGCAGCUUCCCUCAGACUCAGAGUAGAAUUAUAUAAGAGAAAGUAAAAAUGCGUGAUUCUUCCCAAUGUGGGCUUAAAGCAUCACCUCAAGCAGUCUUAGAGCUUCACUUCAAGCAGUCUCUGACCUCACUGAGUGAUUGCGUUUUCUAGGAUGCUGCUUCUUACACCCCACAACGUCAGCAUACGCAGUUGCUCUCAUGCCCUGUGAAGCAGAGAGGUACAGAAGCAGGCAGGCAGCAGCCUAAGGAAGCUGGCCAGGAGCUGUGAGGGAGUGCUGCUCAGGCAGCCUGGUGAAAAGCAUGAGCUCCCUCAGCUAGCAGCCCUGCCCUGUACCUCACACCCUGGUGAUCAUCUAGGCAGGGAAUGGCUACCAGAGCUGCCUCAUUAUCUCAUUUCAAGAGAAAAAUCAGAUUAGACUUAAAAACCAAUCAGCAAAAUAGAAAACAUUCAGAUUUUCCACAUGCAGUUGAGCAAGCCCUUGGGUUUGAGCAUGACUGUGUGGAGAACACAACUGCAGCUGGUUGGAUUUUACCUCUGUGCCUGGCAGGACGGAUGCAGGCUGUGGACUUUUCCUGAAGCUCAUCUAGACAUUGCUGCAGCCAGCUCAGAUUUAUGGACAGGUUUUUCCACUGUGACCUUGAGGUCACAAGCUGUCAGUAACCCAUCACAACUAAUCGCCAGAAGGCUUUUGGCCGUGCGCUAGUGCUACUGAAGUCAGCAAGAAGAUCCCCAUCAGUUCAAACAGGACCAGGGCUGGGCCUGGCGGACACAAACAAAAAGGCUGAGACAGUGAGCUCUCUUGAUUUCUCAGAAUAAUCUCCCCCUUGACUGGCAUAAAGCAGUGUUUAUGAAAGGAGACAGGCCAACAUUACAUAGCUCUCCUGUGAGGCAGCUUUUUUCCACUGCUUGUUUUACAAAAGCUGAGAAGCCAGUGUUCACGGCACGGCUGAUAUCUAAUAAAUCAACAGAUUGAAGGCAUCUUUCCAAAUAGACAACUGUGUUUAUUAGUACAAGAUACUAGGAAAAACACUCUGUAAUGAAGAUUUCCUCAUGUCUUUGUUUAAUGUUUAUUAUAGCCUCUCUUCUGUGCAACAAAUAAAGCUGACACAAAGAUUACUAGAGUCAUAGGCACACUUGGAUGUUUUUGAAUGUCCUAGAGUAACCAGCACGACAUGGCAGUAUAGAAGGAACUGCAAGGAAGUAGGUGUUGCGUCAUGUUAUAAGGAAAAUAAACACAAAUUUAUGAGAGUAGUUUCCUGGGAACUGAUCCCAGGUGUACAGCAAAGCUCCUUGCUGUCUCAGCUGGAGGAAGAAGGCUGGAGAAGCACCUGGUAACUGCACACCCAAGGACUACUGCCCUCAGCAGAAAUACCACGCUGGGUGCCACUGACACCCAUCUCCCUUGGUGGUGUUCUUAACUGGUCUGGAGCAUGAUCUGGGCUUUAGCCCUGAUGUAAGCAUGUGGGCCAUGACAUUGCUGGCCCUGGGGAAGAGCUCACAGACUCAACAGAAGACCUACACCAAGGAGUAAAAGAUGGAAGGAAGGAAGGAAGGAAGGAAGGAAGGAAGGAAGGAAGGAAGGAAGGAAGGAAGGAAGGAAGGAAGGAAGGAAGGAAGGAAGGAAGGCAGGGAGGGAGGGAGGGAGGGAGAGUAGAUCAGGUCUUCAGGAAAGGAGAUUAGUGGCAAUAAAAUAUCCUACAUUUUGAGAUAAAAUGUGUUUGGUCAGCUCAGCCACAAUUCAGUAUUGAAUCCAGCAAAUGAUCAUCAUCAAUGGAAAUAAGACCACGAAUGUCUCAGUUUAGGAACCAGAAGAGUCCACAGUGUUUGUGGACUUUAGACAUUUAUGAGAAAAUGUUUUAAAAUAGUUUCAUUAUCAAGUGAAGCUGCUCAGUCUUGUUCUUCUGCAAAAGUGGUCAGGGGGAUAUAGAAAGAAAUUGUGUGCAAAUUUUUGACAGUGUCAAAGGGCUAUGUAUAUAAACCUUUUCCAAGUAUUUAGUAAUCAGCUCAGGUUAACAGCAUGAAGCAUAAUAACUCAUCCAGUUAUUAUUCUAUGCAAAAUACCCUGGGGCAGUAUGUAUUGGCUUGUUAAAAAGCAGUAGAAAUGCAGAAUUAGAAGGCUGAUUUAAAAAAAAAAAAAAAAUCCCCCUUCAGAUUAAUCAGAAUGUUUUGUUAAUUACAUGCUAUGCAAAAAUGCGACCUUGUCCUCUUGAUAUAGAAAAAAUAAAGAACUCUACAACGUGUAUUUGUUCUCAAGAGGAAGCAAAUGUAUGAAGAACUGCCAACAUUGAGUCUCAGCCUUACUGUGUACUGCAGUACUGCCAAAGGCAACAGUGUAAUGAUCCGCAAGACCCAAAUUCAUCCCUGGCAUUGUUCAGCUCUCACUGGUGGAGAUACAGCCCGGACAAGUUUGUCUCAUAGAGAUAAACAGACCAACACAAAAGACAGCUGCCUGACAAGAGCAGAGCUCAGUGUCCCACUGUUGGGCGAAGAGAGCACAUAAUACCAUCAGUGGUUGGUUUAACCCAGGCUGUGGUGCAGAAUUUACUAAUUCUCCUUGUUUCGUCCAUGUGAAAGUGCAAGGUGUUUCCUGCUGCUGGCUGACCCAAUCCAGCCCUGAGGUGGUUUCAGUGGCUGAGCACUGGACUCUGGCUCAGUAGAACUUGAGUCCCUUUCCACUCUUAACACCAGCUGAGGACAGUUCCUCACCUGCAAGACAAAGGUAAGUACUUCAGUUACCAACUACAGGAGCCCAGAGAAGAGUAUGAGAACAAAGCAAACAUGGUGAUACUUCUCAGUACACUUUCCCCUCCUCCUAGCUCCUUUGUGGUUCAGUUUCUCCAUAUAAGAAUUGUUUUUGCCUUUGAUAGACUUCAGUGAAUAUUUUUUCUCCUCACAGAGUUCUCUGAUACAUACAAGAAAAGCAAAUUCUUCUUGAAAGCCAAUCAAUCCUGGGGUCUUCUUGUGCAGGCUGUCCUUCUUGAUGACUAUUCCUUCUUGAUGAUCCCAGCUUCCUAACAACAGGUACAAUAUGCCAGUUUUAUCCCUCUUUCAGGUCACACAGAGAUCUAAGCUCUUGACCUCACACACAUACAUGCAUUCAAUUGCUGGCCCUUUCUUGCUCCAUCCUAAAAACCCUUGCCUGGUGACUCCAUGGGAACCACCGAGGACAAGGCCUCAGAGCUGCACUGAAUCACUAAAUCUUUGCAGUUUUUCUGUGUUUGGGUAAGUUAACCAGAGAGCUCAGUGAGUUUAUGCUUUGCAGAGCUAUGCUGGCAAAUGCUUCCAGUCUUGAACCACCCACCCAGAUUCCUGCAAUAGCACAGAUAAACUAAUCUGUGCAUUUCUAAUGUACCUGUCAUGCAGCAUGGAGAUACUGCGAUAGCUGAAUCAGUGGAAGCCAUCAAAGCUUUCCAACAUGUCUUUCCUUGGACUGGGAUAAGCUAGCAAACAUCAGCAAGAGCUAGGGCUGCUGUGGAGCUGUAAGCACACAGUCUGUAGCACUGCAUUUUGCGUGGAAUCCAUAUAGUUAAUGUGAGCUGCUGCUGUAGGUGUCCCUGGCAGAGAGGCAGCAGGAGCUGGAAGCAUUAUCUGAAAAACAGCCAGAUCUCACACAGCCCAGUAGGCUGAUGUUAGUUUUGAUGGUCUACUUCAGAGCUUCUCAAAAACACUAAAAUACAUGUGUUGCUGUUUAUCUGAUUGAUGUCUUCUUGUUUAAAGAAAAAAAAAUAGAGAGAGAAAAAAAGGCAGAAGCGUGUGGGAAAGAAAAUGGGGCUGAUUUCAGACAUUUGCUAUGAGAGCCAGAUCUCUACUUGACUAAUUUCAUCUGUGUUCUGCAUGGCCUUUGGGUAAAGCUGACAUGGAUUUAAGUGAAUGUUUUCAACAUGGAAAAAAAGAAAGCACAAGAGAAAUAUAGGUUGCAUUUUAGGACAUGAUGUUUAACUGUCAUGGAAUUUUUCAGACUAAAGAAGUCAAAAAGGACUGAAGGUUCUGGUAUUUCCAGCAUCUGCAUGCUGAGUGAGACAAAUUACAAGGGAAGGAGAUUUUUCUCUCUCCCCUCCUCGUGACCGUAAACACCCCAGGAUCACAUCUCAGAGAGCAGCUAGUCAGCAUGCACAUGCACUACAGAUACAUGCAGCCACACAGCAUAGACAGAGACUGUGGAGAAGGUGGAGGCUGAGCCAGCAUGCCAGGAGGGAAACAGAUCUACGCUGCUUUGCAUCAGGACACAACUUCUGUGCUCAGUGCCGAAGGUGUAAAAGCGAUCCAGCCUGAGGAACUGAGACCACUGUCACCAAGGGCAGAAUACUGCCCAAGGAGAGCAUCCUUGCUCUCUAUCAGGAGAUCGUCUUCUAGGAACAGCAUCAGAUCUGAAAUCAAAGGUGAAUCUUAACGCAAAGAGGCAGGUGCCAGCUCUAGUUGUCUGUGCCACUCAGGCAAUUAGCUGACAAAUAUAAACCAGAUCUCCACGUUUCAAAGCUCAUUUGCAUUGCUCCUGAGACAGUCUGUCGGAAAAGAAUGUAAUUAGGUUGAAGCUGACAAGAUUUAUGCACAGAGGGGGAAAAAAGAAAGAAGAAGAGAAAAAAUUAUGCCUUGGAACACCCGGGCGAGUGGCAGUUCUGGCACGAGCAACCAUCAGAAGACAUACGUCUGUGGGACUGCAGCAGCAGUGAGGGAGGCAUGGAGACGACCCCCCCAGAUUGAGUAGAGGGGAUGCUCACAAGCACCUGAGCAUUGCUGGUAGUCUUGUCAGAAGGCUGCUUUUGGCAGCUGAGCUGCAGUAUCUCCAGCCCAAGCUGCCACCCACCCCCUCAGCCGCAUGAGCCAGGCUGCGGAGCAGCUAGGCCAAGCCUGUGCCCAGGCAGAACCAGGCCCCAGCUCUUCGUGGAUGCUGCGCGAGGGCCUGCAAGUCAUACCCUCUGUUCAUUAGACACUUUCCUUCUUUAAACAGGAGGGCUGUCAUCCCAGGAUCACGUGCAAGCUCAGCAGUCACCACAGUGAACAGACCCACUGGCUCUGGGAUGUCCCUCUCACUCCUGCUUAACUAGGUUACACGGCAAGGUGCCAAAACCUGUACGGCUGCCUCUCCUCACCAGCAGGAAAAUUCCAUUAAAUUCACUCCUGGGGUUGGCAUACCUGCUAUUUAGGCAUAAAAUCACUGAGUGAAAUCACCUGCUUAGCUCUGAACACUAAGAAGGAGCUAUUUUCCAAUUGUAAAAUUCAGAAUUGUGACUAGAGAAAAUAAAGCUCUGCCACGCAAAGCACUGUUAAUUCUGCUCUGUGGUGAAAGACUUUGGUAAUUAAGUGAUUAAAGCAUUUUAAUAGCUGUUGGAGAUUGUUCAGUUGGCGUGGAAAAACGCAUUCCCUUCUUCCACUUUUUCUGUUUUGGCAUCACCGUGACAGGAGCAAAUGGGGUCUGAGCAGCUGACUUGUCAGUCUGGUCCUUUAGUUGCCACUGGGCAGUGAUUUCAGCAGGCUAUUCCCACAAAGCACUGCCCUUCCCAUCCUGCAGGAAGGACUGAGCUGGUGAGGAGGGCCCCAGCAGCCCUGCCAGGCUGCUGCCCACGCCGCAGGCAAGCCCAGAGCAGCCCCUGCAGCUGCAUUUUAACCCAGAUGGGUUAAACGUGUCAGAGUUCCCCUAUACCACUGACAGCUAAUAUAUUUGCAUGUGAAUUAGCAGUAACAAAGAGGCGCGAUCAGCUGUGUUGCCUUUGUCUCACUGGCUCCACUCCACUGUGGUGCAUGACCCCAGGACUUGCAGCAGUGAGCUGUUGAUUCCCAGCCAUCUUCCCCAGAAUACUCACAACAUUUCAGUCUCUUUUGUAUCCUCUUCUAGUCUUUUUUUUUUUUUUCUUUCCUUCUUUUUUUCAGGUGUUAUGGUCCUAAUCCUGACCACCUACUUCAUUUCUUUUAGGAAGCUGUCCCUUACUUCCAGUUGUUCUUGUUAUCAUUCCAGCUGUUUGCAGAGAUGGACCCAGAGCUGCACAGGACAGAGACAUACAGGUGCUGAAUUUUGUGAAGGACUCAGUUUUACCCAGGAGGGUGAAUUAAUUACAGAUUCACAAGAUUUGGAACUGCUACACUGAUGAUAUGCUGACUUCUUGAAAGCAAAAUCUGGUCCUCACUGCGUUCAGUAGGAUAUUCGCAGCUGUUUUCAACAUGAUGCCCGCAGUUCAUUCCAACCUGUUCUUUCUUCCUGCAAGUUGUAUGAGUUGAGCAACAACUACAGUUCUAAUCAUGCUCCAUGCAUGAACGCUGCCAGGACCAAAGAGCUUGCUGGGGAUCAGUGAGGGAUAAGUGAAACCAGAGGCAGUUAGAUAUCUUUGGCAAAAGAAACCAACACCCAAGGAGCAUGUUUCAGAAUUGAGCUUCCAAUAUGAGAAAAGUACAUGCAGCUUCUUUCAUAAAGAUUACCUUAGAAGAUACAGUGGUGCAUUUAGGACUGUAGCCAUAAAAAAAAAAAAAAAAAAUCUGGACAAUAAAAAAUCCACAAACUGAGCAUUAGACUACAAUAGCCAAAACUUGACCCACCGGAGACUAUUUCCUCACAAGGUAAGCAGGCCUAGAGGUGCUCUGUUUAGACCUACUGAGAUACUAGUACUUAUGGAUAGCAUCUUGACAUAUUUUAAGGGGAUCUGUUUCCUCUGUCCUCAGUAUUGUCUUUGUGAAGAAGUUCUCCAGGCAUAAGAUCCCAAGUAGUACUAUGAAAUAUCUGAGCAGCCUGUAAAACAUUGUAUGCAGUACUGCAGAUUGAACAACUGUUUUCUCUGUGCACCUCUCAUGCACUAUUUCUGCCUGUGAUUAUGUUUUUCAUGCAUCACCAGUGCAGCAAGCUUUUGCUAGAUAUUUCACCAGCUAACUGCAAAUUAGCCAGGGCGUGCUCUUGAUUUGGAGAUCUCUGACAACCCAGCCCACCAUUCACUCAGACGUAUUCAACAGGGAAAUAAACUCUUUUCAAUGUUGAAGAAAUCCAGCUCUUCAUUAGUUAACAAAGUUCUUUUCCCUCUCUUUAAGAGGAAUAAUCUCUUUAAGAGAAGAAUCAUUUUCAAAGCUUGAGAAACGCACUAUUUCCACUUCAGUUUAGAUUCUUAGCCAGUUAAGAUUUCCUUUAGAUGGAACUGACUUUUCAUGCUAGACUUGACUAGGAAAGUUAAGUGUUUGAGAGCAGGAGGAACAAAGAAAAAAAACCACCUCAGAACUAUGUUCUUUCUGAAACCUGAGGUAUAGGUUAGCUACCAAAAAUGAACAUAAAGGAAUCAGAUCUAAAUGCCAGGUACCAGUGACUUUUAGGAGGAAUCAGGUGUCUACUUAAGUUCCUCCAUUAAAGUGGAUCAUUAAAAACAAAGCCCCAGGCUUCCUGAAACAGAAGAUUUCCACGUCUGCUUUAUACGAGUCCCAGACAAGAAAAUGAAGGGGACAUACGGAAUACUGUGAAAUAACUUUGGAAUUCUGAAUGCAAGAAAGUUUAUUUUUAUUAGCUGUUGUUCUUCAUAUAGACUGUGUGCCUCUCAGGCCCCUCACCUCAGAUGUUCCUGGCAUGCAUGGCUCACAGUGCUUGCCUUAGCUUUAUUCAUGAAAUUCAUUUCAUAAUAACAGGAGAACAUUCCCUGGGGGAUUAUCACACUUCUGUAGGCUUGGAUAGAGUGCUCCAAAAUGUCACCCGAGGCAUCCUAUGUCACCUAGUACAAGGAGGAACUGCAGGCACUUUAUAAUACUCACAGCAGUUUUAGUGUGGAUAUAGCUCCGUAUCUACCAACCAAGUUAUUAUGAGUCAAACUCCGGUUCUGUGUUUCCAUGAACACAUCCAGUUAACAUUCAUUUCCCAAAGUUAUGUUAAUCCUCAACUUUCCUUCCACAUGAGUCCACAGUUAAUUAAGCAGGGAUGGGUUCUGCUGUGGCCUCAUUUGCGAAGAACUCAUUCUCUGCACUUCUGGAGAAGAGGCAGCUGUGACAUCAACAACCUACCUCAAACCUAGUCAAUGUCAGAGGUCUUCCAGGACACUUAGCAUCCCCAAAAAUCUGACCAGAUCCAAUCAGGGGAAAAGGGAACAUUUCUGUGACAUGCAUACAUUCAUUUGGGCCUGCUUUGACCUACCUGGGCCACUGCAGGAAGGACAUGACUAUGAGUAGAAAGAACACACCUACUGAUGGUAUCUUGUGCAAAGGUCUCUGUCUCCCUUAAGAGCCCAUUUAGCUGCUACAGGCUAAGCUUUUCUAAUCAAAUGCUUCCAGAAGUAGACACUUAAUUAGUUUAACUGCAGAAAGAUUUUGGAGUUUCAGAAGGUUCAGAGUUCAUUUACUUUUGUCCUUACGUUUCACUUGCACACAUCCAUCUUCCAGAGCUCCAGCCAGGGUUACGAUCAGAGGGCCAGAACUGCCUGUGCAGGCACACACAGAAGAGAUCACGCUCAGAAACUUUUGAUUAGCUAGACAGUGAUUUCAUUUACAGACAGCAGUUGAGCAUCAUCCAGGAAAAUGAGUUAACUGAAACAUAAUUAAGUGCAUGUCAGCAGAGCAAGUUGAAUUAGUCUGCUGAGGAAAUUAACAGGCUCUCAGAUACAAUAGGGGUUCAAAAGAGCCUAUGGAAAUAGAAUGAAGGGACACAACUACCAACUCACAUUUCUAAUUAGAGAAGUAAGUAUGAAUGGAACACAAGUUUCCCCCACAUCUCGCUCACCUUUCA